Danio aesculapii is the source of this 613-nucleotide long non-coding RNA. RefSeq lists it as uncharacterized. The record is from RefSeq and is a predicted model, not a curated record. NCBI's taxonomy places the organism in Eukaryota, Metazoa, Chordata, Actinopteri, Cypriniformes, Danionidae. The transcript is spliced from 4 exons.
GGGGCGUGGAUCCACUAUUUGGUAACUACGCGUCCCACUUCAACAAUAUUCAUUUUCCAGUUAACUCUUACCAGGUCCUUCCGGUGUGCAGACAAAGGAGCGCACAGAGCACAGGCACGCAUACACACCAACGCCAUAGACCAUGUCGGACUCAGAGACUGCAGCUCCUGCCGAAACCCCUGUCCCAGCAGCCUGUGUGGCCAUCAAAGCAGAUUUAGACAAAUGUGUAAAGGAGAAAGGUGAGGAUGGUUGUAAGGAGCUGAUGGAGGCGUUUGCUGCCUGUGUGAAGAGCAAUGCUGAGGCAUCAUGAGGAGCUCAACAUGCAGGAAAAGGGUUAACUGCACUGAGUCCUCCACCUUCCCAGCAUUCCCUGCAGCUCAUGGCACUGGAUUAAUGAUGGGGUUUGGGGUUUGGCAGCAGAGACCAGUCUUGUGUCUCUUCCCUUCUCUACCCCUCCUGUGAAGCUUAAAUGGAUUCCUCCAACCACCAACCUUCCCUCCCCUUUUUGUGGCUGAUUGUAUUGAUCUGAUUUGUAGACCGUUCGGAGCUCAUGAAUUGAUGUAAAUGAUGUGUCUCAGAUGCUUACAAAAUGGAAUAAAGAUUUUAAAAUGGU